AACGCUAGCUACAGGCUUAACACAUGCAAGUCGCGGGGUAACGAGAGGGAAGCUUGCUUUCCUUGUCGACGACCGGCGCACGGGUGAGUAACGCGUAUCCAACCUGCCCAUUACCACGGGAUACCCCGUCGAAAGGCGGCCCAAUACCGUAUGCAGUCGUCAGAUGACAUCAGAGGACGACGAAAGGAUUGGCGGUAAUGGAUGGGGAUGCGUCUGAUUAGGCAGUUGGAGGGGAAACGGCCCACCAAGCCAUCGAUCAGUAGGGGUUCUGAGAGGAAGGUCCCCCACAUUGGAACUGAGACACGGUCCAAACUCCUACGGGAGGCAGCAGUGAGGAAUAUUGGUCAAUGGGCGCGAGCCUGAACCAGCCAAGUAGCGUGAGGGAUGACGGCCCUAUGGGUUGUAAACCUCUUUUAUGCGGGAAUAAAAUGUUUGACGUGUCAUACAUUGUAGGUACCGCAAGAAUAAGGACCGGCUAAUUCCGUGCCAGCAGCCGCGGUAAUACGGAAGGUCCAGGCGUUAUCCGGAUUUAUUGGGUUUAAAGGGAGUGUAGGCCGCAAGUCAAGCGUGUUGUGAAAUGCAGGGGCUCAACCUCUGGAUUGCAGCGCGAACUGGCAUGCUUGAGUACGCACGAGGUAGGCGGAAUUUGUGGUGUAGCGGUGAAAUGCUUAGAUAUCACGAAGAACUCCGAUUG
Molecule: ribosomal RNA, 694 nt
Filed under: uncultured bacterium
Lineage: Bacteria
Description: bacterial SSU rRNA
Rfam family: Bacterial small subunit ribosomal RNA
Source: RNAcentral